UACGAAGGUGGCAAGCGUUACUCGGAAUUACUAGGCGUAAAGGGCAGGUAGGUGGUUUGAUAAGUCUGUUGUGAAAGCUCCUGGCUUAACUGGGAGAGGUCAACAGAAACUAUCAGGCUCGAGUAUGGGAGAGGGUACUGGAAUUCCCGGUGUAGCGGUGAAAUGCGCAGAGAUCGGGAGGAACACCAAUGGCGAAAGCAGGUACCUGGACCAUUACUGACACUCAACUGCGAAAGCUAGGGGAGCAAACAGG
This 253-nucleotide ribosomal RNA is filed under the name uncultured bacterium. RNAcentral describes it as "partial 16S ribosomal RNA". It matches the Rfam family "Bacterial small subunit ribosomal RNA", at positions 524 to 776 of the family's 1533-position model. The record is from RNAcentral.